UGAAUGAGUAGGUGUGUCCAAACUUUUGACUGGUACUGUAUAUAUGUAUAUAUGUUAACUUUUUAUAGAUUUGUUACAUUUUCACAAUAGAGCGCCUGUAGCACAGGCAAAGAUAUUUUUCCAGCACCCCAAUUGAAAAUAACAUUCAUUAAAAAUACCCUGCACCAACAAACUUCUUCCCGUGGCUAUACGUUUUGGUUUCUGCCCUAACACAACACAGCUGAUUCAAAUGAUAAAAGCUUGAUGAUUAGUUGAUUAUUUGACCGGUUAAAGGAUGAGAGAGGGAGGGGUCUGACUGGAUGGGUCCUUAAAAAAGGAGAGCAGGAAGCAGUAGAACUCAACUCACAAACAGAGCGCUGACAUGACCAGACUACAGGAGACUAUCACCAUGGCGACGUUGACCCUUCUACUGCUUCUCAGCGCUGCCUUUACACUGGGUGACAGAAUGACUUUGAACAUAGCAAGUAAGAGUCAGCCUCACACUUUAAAUCACGAGUGUCAAACUCAUUCCACGGAGUCUCUUGCAUCUGCAGUUGGCUUACCUUUCAAUGAAGACCUAGACAACCAGGUGAGGGGAGUUCCUUACUAAUUAGUGACCUAAAUUGAUCGAUCGAGGGAGGAGCGAAAACCUGUAGACGCUCUGUGGAAUGAGUUUGUGCUUUACAUCAUUGAUUGUGUAUGUUUUGUUGUAGUGUGGCAUGACUGAUCUCCAAAUGUUAUUUUUGACGCAAGGGUAAUUGCAAUUUUCUAUAGGCUUUUCAAUAUUGUGUGGAGUUGGGCCCUCUUGUAUAUUAGAACCCUCAAGGCAUGGGUUAAGACUGAGAUGAACUAAUUCCUAUAUUUGAGAGUCCAGAAGACACAUUCUCAGACUGGACAACUGACUAAUACUUCCAUUAUGACAUGUCUUUGUCUCUGUGUACUGCUUGCUCUAGCGCCACUGUCAGUUACUUGGAGAAAAACUGAAGCCUGUGUACAACACUGUAAAGUACCUUGGCGCAAACCUGGCAUCUGUGCACAGCUAUGAAGAGUUCCAAUUUCUACAGGCGGUGGUGUUGGUCGCGACUGGCAGUUUCCCUCUUACCUGGAUUGGUGGAUUUGAUGCUGUUCAAGCAAAGGUGGAAAAGGUGCCUUAAUACUUAAGACUAAUAAAACCAUCAGCUCAGAGUAGGUGUUAAGACACUGGUCAGACAACUCUGUGCCAGGAGUAAUCAACUCGCCAGUUUCUCAGCUGGUAAUGACCACAGUUUGAGGUACCGCAGAGGAAAGAUUGACAUUCGCAACUCGAGUUCUACGUGGAAUUUGGAUAUUACCAUUAUAUCCACACUCCCACUUUAAUAACUGUAAAUUGCUUUGGCACAGUAGGCAUGAAGUUACUUGCCUACCUUUUAACCAAACAUAAUUCAUGAAAACAUGGCCCGAUGUCAUGUCUUUAAACUGAUAUGUGAUUUUAAGUAUUUAGGCAUGUGACCUAUGCCUCGUGUGAAGUCAUUGUCAAAAGCAAAAUAAAUACUGUUGGUUGUAGGUCUAGAUUUGAGUUGAUCAUCUCGAAAUAUCCAGAGCAAUUGCCACAGAUACUCCAUUGGCCUCUAACGAUGUGAAGAGUCUGCAAUGUCGGGCAGAUUCGAGGGACAGGCACAAUUCCGAGAGAAAUGGUUUUCUCAGUUUCUGGCAUGUCAUGUGUGCUACUUGUAUCAGUACUUGUAACAACCUAAGCGUUACAAAACGUAUAUUUGCUCAAAUAAGCCAUUAUGUUUUUCGUUAAUGAAAUUCGACAUCUUAUUGGCGGCCAUACAAAAACGAGUUGCUUGGUGACCAGGAAAAACGCUACCCGCUUGAGAAGGCAGAUUUUGGGCUUAGUUACCCUUCUCGCUUCGCCUCUUCCUCUUUGCUAUGGCGCAGAAACAACUUACUAGCUGUCUUUUUCUAUUUUUGGGAUUUCUAGAAAUGUGGUUGUAGUAUCAACACUUGUGUAUUUUUUUUCACCCAACAGUUCCAUUGUCAGUCUGCACGUUUUGGUAGUGGUGGCUUUUACCGUUUUGUUGGAGGAAAGACCAUAAAUGUUGUGCUUGCUGAACAAUUUCUAAAAUGCAUGUAACAUUUGAUACUGAGAUCUCACUACUUCCACACAGGACAGGCUAUGGUUCUGGAGUGACGGCUCCAAAUUUGAUCACGAGAGCUGGGCUGAAGGGGAGCCGAAUAACCGCAAUGGUGCCAGAGAGCCAUGUAUUCAGAUCAACUUUGGCGGUACAUUAUCAUUCAUCAAAUUAAACUUUUUUGAGCAA
Long non-coding RNA from Oncorhynchus mykiss (rainbow trout), 2282 nucleotides. Lineage: Eukaryota; Metazoa; Chordata; Actinopteri; Salmoniformes; Salmonidae. The record is from Ensembl.